RNAcentral lists this ribosomal RNA (589 nucleotides) under uncultured bacterium. RNAcentral describes it as "partial 16S ribosomal RNA". It matches the Rfam family "Bacterial small subunit ribosomal RNA", at positions 355 to 1376 of the family's 1533-position model. The record is from RNAcentral.
UGGGGAAUCUUCCGCAAUGGACGAAAGUCUGACGGAGCAACGCCGCGUGAGUGAAGAAGGUUUUCGGAUCGUAAAACUCUGUCUUUUGGGGCGAACGUGAGUAUGGUGAACAAUCAUAGUCAGUGACGGUACCAAAGGAGGAAGCCACGGCUAACUACGUGCCAGCAGCCGCGGUAAUACGUAGGUGGCAAGCGUUGUCCGGAAUUAUUGGGCGUAAAGAGCGCGUAGGCGGGAUAGUCAGUCUGUUGUAAAGUGCGGGGCUCAACCCCGUGAUGGCAAUGGAAACAGCUAUUCUUGAGUGCAGGAGAGGAAAGUGGAAUUCCCAGUGUAGCGGUGAAAUGCGUAGAUAUUGGGAGGAACACCAGUGGCGAAGGCGACUUUCUGGACUGUGUCUGACGCUGAGGCGCGAAAGCCAGGGGAGCGAACGGGAUUAGAUACCCCGGUAGUCCUGGCCGUAAACGAUGGGUACUAGGUGUGGGAGGUAUCGACCCCCUUCCGUGCCGGAGUUAACGCAAUAAGUACCCCGCCUGGGGAGUACGGUCGCAAGACUGAAACUCAAAGGAAUUGACGGGGUCAUAGCUGUUUCCUG